Molecule: long non-coding RNA, 206 nt
Filed under: Aquilegia coerulea
Lineage: Eukaryota; Viridiplantae; Streptophyta; Magnoliopsida; Ranunculales; Ranunculaceae
Description: long non-coding RNA (ACOE_LNC000688)
Source: RNAcentral
UAGUGAGAAAACCCUUUCUCUCUUCUCACACGCCUUGUGAUAUAUGUGCAAAUCAACAUCCAUGAGAAAGGAAUCCCCCUUUGAAUCAUUCGCGGUCAAUAUAAUUAUUUUGAAUUAAACUUCAUUUACAUUUACAAAGUCUUCUUUUUGCCUAUACAAGACUCUUUCUUUGCUCGUUUAGUAUACUAUAGGUAAUUCGGAAGGGC